This 234-nucleotide long non-coding RNA is filed under the name Hordeum vulgare. RNAcentral's name for it is "long non-coding RNA (HVUL_LNC002939)". The record is from RNAcentral. Lineage: Eukaryota; Viridiplantae; Streptophyta; Magnoliopsida; Poales; Poaceae.
GAAGGAGGUCAUUAACCGUGGGCCAUUGCUAACAGAAGGUUUGGCUGAUGAAUUCCUCCCUCACGAAGGUGUUGAUCUAACACGCAAGCACACAUUUGCAACCUGGCGAGGCAAGAUAGAUGGCAUUGGCCCUGGAACAAAUGGCAAAGCUUAAGAGCACUAUAAUAGUUAUCUUAUUUGAGGUUGUGAUUGUAAUAGCACUGUAAUAGCUAUCUUAUUUGUUUCCUGGCAGAC